UUCUCUUAUGAAAGGCCGUUCUCUUCUCUCACUCUCAAUCAAAUUUAUCACUUCUCUUAUACAAAUUAAGAAGAAUUUAUGAUGGUUGUGUGUUUAACAACUUAUUUACCAUCGACUAGUUAGGGUUCAACAACUUUCAGAAGAUUUGGAAAUGCUAGCUCACCUCUGAUUUCAGGUUUCAUCAGAGAUUCAAUUCACCAACUUAUUAGGAUGUAUCAAUGUCUUGUUGUUCCCCCAAGAAAAGAAUGGAUUUAUGCACCUAAGUAUUCACCUACAUGGGUUGCCGGUGUUCAAUCUUUCAUCAAAUUUACAAGAGACAAUCUUGGUGAAGCUAGCGAUAAAGUUCGAUGUCCUUGCAUGAAAUGUAAGAAUUACAAUAGCUUACCAAAAUCUCUAGAAGAUGUACAUGGGGAUAUUCUUGAGAAUGGAUUCAAUAUGACAAACCAAACAUGGAUCCAUCACGGAGAUCAAUCUAUGGAUCAUGUUUUCGGUGUUGAAGCUCCUCCUUUACCCGCUAAUUAUGUUGUGAAUGAAGAUGUUCCUGUUUCGAGAAUUCACAACUUGUUCAACGAGACAUUAGGACGUGCAGUUUGUGUCAGUAACUUUGAAAAUUGCCAAAAUAGUUCUGAUUGUCCCCCGGGUGCUGAUGUUGAAGAUGAUACUGGUGGUAAUAAUCAAGAUAGAGCUGGUGACAAUUACAGUAAAAGGGUACAAGAUGCUGGACAACCCUUAUAUCCAGGUUGUAGUCGUGAACAUACAAAAUUGUCGGCAACAGUUGAGUUGCUUAGUAUGAAAGCAAGAUAUCAAUGCUCUGAUGUUUUCAUGACUGAGUUAUUGGGAUACUUGAAAACCAUUUUACCGGUUGAGAAUAUGUUGCCUCAUAAUUGUAGGAAAGCUAAGGAUAUGAUCAAACCGUUUCAGUUGCCGGUCCAAAUUAUCCAUGCUUGUAUUUUGUAUGGGAAGGAUUAUGCUGAUUUUUAGGAGUGUCCUAAAUAUAAGGAAAGUAGAUGGAAAAAGCCGCCAGAAGGGAGUAUUCCAACUACAAGAAAGGUGGCGGUAAAGGUACUUAGAUAUUUUCCAGUUACGGAGAGGUUACAGCGAAUGUAUAGUGUACCUUGGAUAGCUGAGCUGAUGAUUUGGUAUUCUAAGGUUGUGGAAAGUGCUACAUACAUGAGGCAUCCUGUAGAUUCUUCUCAGUGGAAGGCUAUAGAUCGAAAGUGGCCUGAGUUUUCUGAAGAGAAGCGAAACGUGCUUCUGGGACUAGCAACUGAUAGUUUUUGUCCUUUCUGGAUGAUGAGCACGCACAGUACCUGGACUGUCAUGAUUGUUCCUUGUAAUCUUCCACCAGAAUUAUGCACGUCCAAAGAUUUCACCAUGUUAACAAUGCUGAUUCCUGGUCCAACUGGUCCUAACCAUAACGUAGAUGUUUAUUUACAUCCCUUGAUUGACGAGUUGCUUGAGUUAUGGUCAGAGGGAAAGGUAACAUAUGAUGCACAUACAAAGACUUACUUCACAAUGAAAGCAAUCUUAUUGUGGUGCAUACAUGACUUUCCGGGAUAUGCCCAUGUUUCGGGUCUGCGAAAUUCUGGAAAAUUUGGUUGUCCUGUGUGUGGAGAAAAUACAGAGGCAUUAAGGUUAAAAUGGGGCAAAAAGUAUGCUUAUAUGGGUCAUAGAAAGUUUCUAAGAGAUAUGAAUCACCCUUAUAGACGACAGAAGUCUCAGUUCAACGGAAAUCAGGAUAACAGGCGUGCACCAAGCCGUUUGAGUGGCGUCGAUUUGUUCGAGAAGACAACAACCGCAGAUAAAGAAUUUGGGAAGUUGGUAAAGCGGCCGGUCAAGGUUACGUCUUCAUGGUCGAAGAGAUCGAUCUUAUUUCGUCUCCCAUAUUGAAAGGCAUUGUUAGCCUGACCUAUUUUUCUGCAUGUUCGACGCAAUGUGGAUGUCAUGCAUGUGGAAAAGAACUUUGCAGAGAAUUUGUUUGGAACCUUUAUGAACCAUAAGGAUAAGUCGAAGGAUGGGGUUCCCGCGUUCAAAGAUUUAAAACUGCUGAAGUUGAAGCCUAGAUUGUGGUUGAAGGAAAAUAAUGGAAAAUCAGUGGCCCCCCAUGCACCUUAUCGCUUGUCUGACUCUGAAAGGAAAGUUAUCUGCAAAACUCUUAGCACAUUGAAAGUACCAAUUGGUUACAGUGGGAACUGGAGAAAGAAAGUAUGUUUGAAAGAGUUUCAAUUGAAGGGUCUCAAAUCCCAGGACUAUCACAUUUUUAUGCAGGAAGAGGCACAUUUAUUGGGGCCUGUUCAGUUUAGGUGGAUGUACCCUUUUGAGAGGAUGAUGAGAACUUACAAGGUUUAUGGCCGCAACAAAAAUUAUAUAGAAGCGUCUAUUCAAAAACAGUAUGAGGUCAUUGAAGGAGCGCGCCAAUGCAUGGAGUUCGUUCAUGAGGGAAAGAAAAAGUCUUAUAAGUGUCGUGGAAAGAUAUUAAUGCCCGAUGAUGUUUAUGAAGGUCCAUACCCAUGUGAUUCACAGGGAAAACCAUAUGAGCUAACCACCUUAAAGUAUGAUCAAGUUCGUCUAUGGAUAUUGAGACACUCAGAUGAAAAUACUGAAUGGGAAGCGUAAGUAAAUAAGUUGGUUUCUGUUUGAAUUAAUUCAUUGCACUAUAAAAAGAAACAUUCACUUAUCAAUGUCUUUGUCAGUUUAUAGGAAAUACAAUACACUUACCAAUGUCUUUGUCAUUUGACGGGAAAUAUAAUGCGUAUGUUUCUAAUCUUAACCAAACUCGUAGGGGAAGGACCGAAACUAUGGACUACAAUUCCAUGGUUAAGAGGACAACUUGAAGGCACUCCAAUGACAGAUUUUCGUAGGCUCGCAAUUGGGCCGAUGUUCCGCACAGUUUCGUAUAAUUCAUACUGUAUUAAUGGCUAUCUUUUCUACACAACAGAUGCAGAAAAACAUUUGAUUACACAAAAUAGUGGAGUCACAAUGAAUGCUUGCACCAGCUUUAGAGCAAGUUCCAGGGAUACUAACCUUGUCGAUGACGAUACUGCAUACUACGACAUUCUGAAAAGAUAUACUUGAACUAGACUAUGGGGUUUUCACAGAAGUUGUCUUUUAUUGUGAUUGGGCGCGAGUCGAAGACAAAGUACAUGGAUCAUAUGUGGAUCGAGAGACAAAGUUGAGGUUUGUCAAUUUUGAAAAGUUUGCGAGAAGCUCAAAGGAAGAAGACGAGCCGUUCAUCCAUGCUUCUCAAGCUAACCAAGUUUUUUACUGCAGCGAUUUGACAAGAAAGCAUUGAAAUCUGGUUUUGGAAUCUCCUAUAAGAUCAGACCCCCAUAUGAAUGCUUUUGAAGAUCCAUAUGUCUUCACUGCAACCUCUAGUGAUGCUCCAUUGAUUUCAGAAACAGUUGGAGAUGAUGAUUAUUGGAGUGGAAUUGCUCAGGGAGAUGAUGAGUAUUCCGAUGUAGAUGAUCAGGAACUAGCACUAGCUGAAUAAGCAGAUGAUGAAUAUUCAGAUGGGGAUGCUUAGGUAAUAACGCUCGUUCAAUCCUUGUUUAAUUCUCUUUGUCGUUGAUGGAUCUACAAGGUCAAGCCAUAGCAAUGCUUAUAUGUAUGGUUUUUUCAAAAACAAGUGUAUAGUGCUGUAUGACACCUUGAUUCAACAGUGUUUCGGGAGAUCAAGAACACAUCAAUCAUAUUCUGUGUCUCAUGUGUAUAUCUAUAUGUAGCUAGCAACACUUUGUUGGGUGCUGCUAGGUGCAAAGCACCCUUGAUUAAUGGGUGUCACUAACCCAAAAUGGAAACUAUUUAAAUCCUGUUGGGACCCACUGAUUCGUCAUCUCUAAGGCUAAUGCCAUGUGUCGCAGGAUGGAUUUUUUUAAAUUCUCUUAACUUGGGAAAUUCCCUUGCAAUUAGGGGUUCACCAGUUAGGAAUGCUGCUCGAGAUCUGUAGAAAUUGAGAUAUUAUUUUAUCUGAAUGCGACACUGAAUUGUAAACAGUGUCAUGUUGAAAAGUUUCAGGUGUAAAAUGUUCAUUCAAGUGAAUGGCAUUGUUUUGUACACAUGAUGAUAAUCUUGACUCUGGGCUAAAUAUGAAUAUAUUGUUUUCGCUUAUGCAUGAUUGAUCAGUGAUUCCUGCAUAUCAGAAAAGAAACA
Molecule: long non-coding RNA, 4149 nt
Organism: Papaver somniferum (opium poppy)
Lineage: Eukaryota; Viridiplantae; Streptophyta; Magnoliopsida; Ranunculales; Papaveraceae
Exons: 9
Source: RefSeq, a predicted model, not a curated record